CCAUGCUAACGUAUUAUAUUUUUCAUAGGCAGAGAGUGUAGGCCAGUUCUCUGUUUUCUCUUUGACAUAUUGCACAAUGGGCGCAAGCCUGAUGCAGCCAUGCCGCGUGUAUGAAGAAGGCCUUCGGGUUGUAAAGUACUUUCAGCGGGGAGGAAGGUGUUGUGGUUAAUAACCGCAGCAAUUGACGUUACCC
This 193-nucleotide ribosomal RNA is filed under the name Salmonella enterica subsp. enterica serovar Anatum. Its description in RNAcentral is "partial 16S ribosomal RNA". It matches the Rfam family "Bacterial small subunit ribosomal RNA", at positions 61 to 480 of the family's 1533-position model. The record is from RNAcentral. Lineage: Bacteria; Pseudomonadati; Pseudomonadota; Gammaproteobacteria; Enterobacterales; Enterobacteriaceae.